RNAcentral lists this ribosomal RNA (519 nucleotides) under uncultured eukaryote. RNAcentral describes it as "SSU rRNA". It matches the Rfam family "Eukaryotic small subunit ribosomal RNA", at positions 1161 to 1698 of the family's 1831-position model. The record is from RNAcentral.
AGGGCACCACCAGGAGUGGAGCCUGCGGCUUAAUUUGACUCAACACGGGAAAACUCACCCGGCCCGGACACUGGAAGGAUUGACAGAUUGAGAGCUCUUUCUUGAUUCAGUGGGUGGUGGUGCAUGGCCGUUCUUAGUUGGUGGAGUGAUUUGUCUGGUUAAUUCCGAUAACGAACGAGACUCUAGCCUAUUAAAUAGAUCGUUGGCUUACAAACGCCGGCGAGACUUCUUAGAGGGACGGGCGGCGAUUCAGCCGCACGAAACAGAGCAAUAACAGGUCUGUGAUGCCCUUAGAUGUCCGGGGCCGCACGCGCGCUACACUGAAGUGAUCAGCGUGCAUUUUGAAACCUACUCUGUCAAGAGUGGGGAACCCAAUGAACCUUCUUCGUGAUUGGGAUAGGGGAUUGUAAUUAUUCCCCUUGAACGAGGAAUUCCCAGUAAGCGCGAAUCAUAAGUUUGCGCUGAUUACGUCCCUGCCCUUUGUACACGCCGCCCGUCGCUACUACCGAUUGAAUGUUU